RNAcentral lists this ribosomal RNA (254 nucleotides) under uncultured bacterium. RNAcentral's name for it is "partial 16S ribosomal RNA". It matches the Rfam family "Bacterial small subunit ribosomal RNA", at positions 524 to 776 of the family's 1533-position model. The record is from RNAcentral.
UACGGGGGGAGCAAGCGUUGUUCGGAUUUACUGGGCGUAAAGGGCGCGUAGGCGGCCACCGCAAGUCGAUUGUGAAAUCUCCGGGCUUAACCCGGAAAGGUCAACCGAUACUGCGGGGCUAGAAUGCAGAAGGGGCAACUGGAAUUCUCGGUGUAGCGGUGAAAUGCGUAGAUAUCGAGAGGAACACCUGCGGCGAAGGCGGGUUGCUGGGCUGACACUGACGCUGAUGCGCGAAAGCUAGGGGAGCGAACGGG